This 186-nucleotide non-coding RNA is filed under the name Acidobacteriota bacterium. RNAcentral describes it as "Acidobacteria bacterium (hydrothermal vent metagenome) 6S RNA". It matches the Rfam family "6S / SsrS RNA". Rfam says of the family: E. coli 6S RNA was the first non coding RNA to be sequenced, but its function was unknown until recently. It consists of 184 nucleotides that fold into an extended hairpin structure with a large single-stranded internal bulge. The 6S RNA specifically associates with RNA polymerase holoenzyme containing the sigma70 specificity factor. The record is from RNAcentral. Lineage: Bacteria; Pseudomonadati; Acidobacteriota.
AGUUCCCUGCAGUGCAGGUGAUGGUUUGGAGGGUCGUUUGAGCCAUUGUUGUAUUGAAGCGAGUCACGAAGCUUUGCUGUGAGCAUGCCUCUGAGCGAGGAAGCCUAGAGGCGGAGCUAAACACAGUGACUCCACCUGCUAAAGCAGGUUCAUACGACCUCCCCACACGGCAAUCGCGGGGUUUUU